RNAcentral lists this ribosomal RNA (245 nucleotides) under uncultured Actinomycetales bacterium. Its description in RNAcentral is "partial 16S ribosomal RNA". It matches the Rfam family "Bacterial small subunit ribosomal RNA", at positions 88 to 334 of the family's 1533-position model. Lineage: Bacteria; Bacillati; Actinomycetota; Actinomycetes; Actinomycetales. The record is from RNAcentral.
CUGACGAGUGGCGGACGGGUGAGUAACACGUGGGUGAUCUGCCCUGCACUUCGGGAUAAGCUUGGGAAACUGGGUCUAAUACCGGAUAGGAGCUCCUGCUGCAUGGUGGGGGUUGGAAAGUUUCGGCGGUUGGGGAUGGACUCGCGGCUUAUCAGCUUGUUGGUGGGGUAGUGGCUUACCAAGGCUUUGACGGGUAGCCGGCCUGAGAGGGUGACCGGCCACAUUGGGACUGAGAUACGGCCCAG